UGGCUCAGAUUGAACGCUAGCGGGAUGCCUUACACAUGCAAGUCGAACGGCAGCACGGACUUCGGUCUGGUGGCGAGUGGCGAACGGGUGAGUAAUGUAUCGGAACGUGCCUAGUAGCGGGGGAUAACUACGCGAAAGCGUAGCUAAUACCGCAUACGCCCUACGGGGGAAAGCAGGGGAUCGUAAGACCUUGCACUAUUAGAGCGGCCGAUAUCGGAUUAGCUAGUUGGUGGGGUAACGGCUCACCAAGGCGACGAUCCGUAGCUGGUUUGAGAGGACGACCAGCCACACUGGGACUGAGACACGGCCCAGACUCCUACGGGAGGCAGCAGUGGGGAAUUUUGGACAAUGGGGGAAACCCUGAUCCAGCCAUCCCGCGUGUGCGAUGAAGGCCUUCGGGUUGUAAAGCACUUUUGGCAGGAAAGAAACGUCGUGGGUUAAUACCCCGCGAAACUGACGGUACCUGCAGAAUAAGCACCGGCUAACUACGUGCCAGCAGCCGCGGUAAUACGUAGGGUGCAAGCGUUAAUCGGAAUUACUGGGCGUAAAGCGUGCGCAGGCGGUUCGGAAAGAAAGAUGUGAAAUCCCAGAGCUUAACUUUGGAACUGCAUUUUUAACUACCGAGCUAGAGUGUGUCAGAGGGAGGUGGAAUUCCGCGUGUAGCAGUGAAAUGCGUAGAUAUGCGGAGGAACACCGAUGGCGAAGGCAGCCUCCUGGGAUAACACU
RNAcentral lists this ribosomal RNA (726 nucleotides) under uncultured Achromobacter sp. Its description in RNAcentral is "bacterial SSU rRNA". It matches the Rfam family "Bacterial small subunit ribosomal RNA", at positions 20 to 741 of the family's 1533-position model. Lineage: Bacteria; Pseudomonadati; Pseudomonadota; Betaproteobacteria; Burkholderiales; Alcaligenaceae. The record is from RNAcentral.